UGCUCUAUAUUAUAAUUUUAGUAUACCUUAUUGCAGAUUGGGUGGUUUUGAGUAU
RNAcentral lists this transfer RNA (55 nucleotides) under Camallanus lacustris. Its description in RNAcentral is "tRNA-Cys". Lineage: Eukaryota; Metazoa; Nematoda; Chromadorea; Rhabditida; Camallanidae. The record is from RNAcentral.